CCUACGGGUGACAGCAGUGAGGAAUAUUGGUCAAUGGGCUUACGCCUGAACCAGCCAAGUCGCGUGAGGGAAGACUGCCCUAUGGGUUGUAAACCUCUUUUGUCAGGGAGCAACGCCGGCUACGUGUAGCCGGACUGAGAGUACCUGAAGAAAAAGCAUCGGCUAACUCCGUGCCAGCAGCCGCGGUAAUACGUAGGGGGCAAGCGUUAUCCGGAUUUACUGGGUGUAAAGGGAGCGUAGACGGCUGUGCAAGUCUGAAGUGAAAGCCCGUGGCUCAACCGCGGAACUGCUUUGGAAACUGUAUAGCUUGAGUACUGGAGAGGCAGGCGGAAUUCCUAGUGUAGCGGUGAAAUGCGUAGAUAUUAGGAGGAACACCAGUGGCGAAGGCGGCCUGCUGGACAGAAACUGACGUUGAGGCUCGAAAGCGUGGGGAGCAAACAGGAUUAGAUACCCUAGUAGUC
This 461-nucleotide ribosomal RNA is filed under the name uncultured bacterium. Its description in RNAcentral is "partial 16S ribosomal RNA". It matches the Rfam family "Bacterial small subunit ribosomal RNA", at positions 338 to 795 of the family's 1533-position model. The record is from RNAcentral.